CCUACGGGGUGCAGCAGUGGGGAAUCUUGGACAAUGGGCGAAAGCCCGAUCCAGCAAUAUCGCGUGAGUGAAGAAGGGCAAUGCCGCUUGUAAAGCUCUUUCGUCGGGUGCGCGAUCAUGACAGGACUCGAGGAAGAAGCCCCGGCUAACUCCGUGCCAGCAGCCGCGGUAAUACGAAGGGGGCUAGCGUUGUUCGGAAUUACUGGGCGUAAAGCGCGCGUAGGCGGAUAGAUAAGUCAGAGGUGAAAUCCCGGGGCUCAACCCCGGAAUUGCCUUUGAUACUGUUUAUCUUGAGUGCAGAAGAGGUAAGUGGAAUUCCGAGUGUAGAGGUGAAAUUCGUAGAUAUUCGGAGGAACACCAGUGGCGAAGGCGGCUUACUGGUCUGCAACUGACGCUGAGGCGCGAAAGCGUGGGGAGCAAACAGGAUUAGAUACCCCUGUAGUC
Molecule: ribosomal RNA, 444 nt
Filed under: uncultured bacterium
Lineage: Bacteria
Description: bacterial SSU rRNA
Rfam family: Bacterial small subunit ribosomal RNA
Source: RNAcentral